Molecule: long non-coding RNA, 851 nt
Organism: Oncorhynchus nerka (sockeye salmon)
Lineage: Eukaryota; Metazoa; Chordata; Actinopteri; Salmoniformes; Salmonidae
Exons: 3
Source: RefSeq, a predicted model, not a curated record
UCCCAAGGUAAGAAACACAUCCCUUUAAUUACCCUCCCAAGGUAAGAAACACAUCCCUUUAACCCUCCUCCCAAGGUAAGAAACACAUCCCUUUAAUUACCCUCCCAAGGUAAGAAACACAUCCCUUUAAUCCUCCCAAGGUAAGAAACACAUCCCUUUAAUCCUCCUCCCAAGGUAAGAAACACAUCCCUUUAAUCCUCCCAAGGUAAGAAACACAUCCCUUUAAUUACCCUCCCAAGGUAAGAAACACAUCCCUUUAAUUACCCUCCCUAGGUAAGAAACACAUCCCUUUAAUUACCCUCCCAAGGUAAGAAACACAUCCCUUUAAUUACCCUCCCAAGGUAAGAAACACAUCCCUUUAAUCCUCCUCCCAAGGUAAGAAACACAUCCCUUUAAUUACCCUCCCAAGGUAAGAAACACAUCCCUUUAAUUACCCUCCCAAGGUAAGAAACACAUCCCUUUAAUUACCCUCCCAAGGUAAGAAACACAUCCCUUUAAUCCUCCCAAGGUAAGAAACACAUCCCUUUAAUUACCCUCCCAAGGUAAGAAACACAUCCCUUUAAUUACCCUCCCAAGGUAAGAAACACAUCCCUUUAAUCCUCCCAAGGUAAGAAACACAUCCCUUUAAUCCUCCUCCCAAGGUAAGAAACACAUCCCUUUAAUCCUCCCAAGGUAAGAAACACAUCCCUUUAAUCCUCCUCCCAAGGUAAGAAACACAUCCCUUUAACCCUCCUCCCAAGGUAAGAAACACAUCCCUUUAACCCUCCUCCCAAGGUAAGAAACACAUCCCUUUAACCCUCCCAAGGUAAGAAACACAUCCCUUUAAUCCUCCUCCCAAGGUAAGAAACACA